Molecule: long non-coding RNA, 3471 nt
Filed under: Delphinapterus leucas (beluga whale)
Lineage: Eukaryota; Metazoa; Chordata; Mammalia; Artiodactyla; Monodontidae
Description: lncRNA (ENSDLEG00000003505.1)
Source: RNAcentral
UUAAGCCUUAACUCAUUUAGAGAGAUAGGGAAUAAAGAUACAGUAGAGAGACUCAAAGAAGUCCUAAAGUGUGUUUUUUGAAGCAAUCGAUAAAAUGGGUACAUUUCUUGUUAUAGUGAAUCCAGAAAUAAAGAAGACAUGAAAGAGGAUGAAGAAAUGAAAAUACAUCUAAAGCAUUCAGAAAUCACCAGGAUACAGGCUGAAUCAUACUUCAGGCCCAGGGAAGUGGAAGUCAUUUUAAUCUUGGACCAGUUAAAUUCUGUUUUUGACAGGAAUCCGGACUAAGGAGUUGACGCUGGAAUUGAGGAACUCACUGGCCAACUGGCAAGAAGAUUGUGGCUAGUGGUAAGUGAAGGCUGUGAGUCAAAAAGAGGCAAGUUCUGUUCAAGGAACCGACAGUAAUUGUCCUGGCUGGACUGCACAGAGCACGGCUGAGCUCAAGAACCAAGGCUGGGCCGAUUAUGCCUAUCCUUGUAGGACAUGUUUCAGUUUGGUCUUUCUCCUAAAGCAAACAGGAAGGCAUAGAAGGACCUUAAGCUGUGGAGCAACAUGGUCAUAUUUGCAUUGAAUGUAUUAGCAUGAGGAACAGACUAGAAAGGGGUGGGUGGUGACAAGAGAGGACCCUAGGAGGUGGGUUUAGAGGCUAUUGCAUUAGUCCAGGGGAGAAAGGGUGGUAGCUUGGACCAGGAGGUCGGCGGGAAGCAGAGGCCAUAGGGACCUUGCCUGGAAUUUGAAAAAGAACAAACAUUUCUGCAUUUAAUGGAAGAUUUGGCCAGUUGACUGUAGUGGCUCCUCUGAAUACCCUUUGAGAAUGUCUGAUUAUUUCACUAAAAGGCAAGAAACCGCUUAAUAAAAAUCCCGAUUUCCUCAGUCUUCUUUUGCCUUUAAAUCGCUACUAGUUGAUACAACACAAGGAAAACAACAUCCAAAUUUCUCCAUUCCAAACAGUAUCGUUCAGCCGGCUUAACCAGCACCCCAGCAUCUCCAUAGCGUACAACAGUAAGUGUUUAUUGCUUGAGCAGCUGUGGGUCAGCUGUGGGUCAGCUGACUUGGGAGAGGCGCCGCUGUGGUUUCUCCUUCAAGGUGUGCGUCUGGCUGGGCUUGGAACCUGCUGGGGGUUGGGCUCAGGUGUGAGCCGUGAAUAAUCAGCAUCCUGAGGCCGGGGCUGCAGUCGCAGCAGCCACAGACACACGAGGAGGAACUCAUGCUUCCGAGGCUUACAAGUGGCAGAGUGCUGCUGCUUCCAUCUUCCACUGGACAAAGCAAGUCACAAGGUGAAGACCACUAUCAGUGAGUUGGGGACAUGUCCUCUGCCUCUGAGAGGCCGAGGCAGGACUGUGGAUGCAGAUUACCAUUGUGGGGAGGAUUGUGGCUGAUACUCAGCCUAUCACAGAAAAGAACACCAGGGCCUCCUCUGCCCCACAAAACCUGAAAGAAUUUUGACAGUUCCUUUUACCUCAAUUCUUUCCUAACUAGCCCAAAGUGGUUCUUUUCUGUGUACAUUUUUCUUAAAGGGAUCGUUGAUAAAUUCUUUCACAGAGAAGUCUAUGUAAUUUUGUAAGGUGUUUCUCAAAUUCGAAGUUGCAACGACAUUUGUAAAGACAAAUAUAUUUAUUCAUAAGAGCCAGCCUUUGUAGAAGUCAGAAAGGAUUUUCUGUGAUUUUCAAAAGCUAAGUUUUAAAAACUGAGAGCUAAGUCCAGAGUACCGAGCAUAGGCUUUUACACACAAUACGAGUUGCUCUACCUUGAAAGAAAGAAUAGUUGUCAGUAGGUUAGAAGAGACGGUUCCGAGGGUACCUAGACCGGUCUCAAUGCUUGUAGGUUAAGAAGGCCUCUGAGCGAGACGGUGUCUGAUUUGGGGGACUCAUAGAUGAGGGGUUUUGUGCCUGGUCUUCCAGACUGCAAGGAGAAAAAUAUAAAAUCUGUUUAAAUUAUCAGCAGCUGAGGGACGGUGUUGAGGCAAAUGGACCUGGAGAUGGCAUUGUAGAAUGUGGCAUAGCCCGGGGUGGUGUGGCUGAAGUAGCCAGGGAGUUCCCGAGCCCCAUAAAGGGGAGAAGAAAUCCUUAGAAGAGACCUUGCCUCCAAAUGAGAAAAUGUAGAAUUUAUGACAAGUCAAGACGAGCAGCCUUAAGGGAGGAGUGACACCCAUGGUACCACUUCUAAAUACCUAAAAUUAUCAGGGAUGUAGUAUGUCAGGGCACAAGAUAGCAAUGACUAAAGGUGCUCUCCUCCAUUCAGGAGAAAGGCAAAUCACACCUCCUUUACUGGAGUGCCUCUCCUUACCUCUUGCUCCCCUGGAUUUCCGUAACUCCUAGAAAAAAGCAUAGGAGAAGGACAUUUGGAGAAACCUUGAAUACAUUGUUUUUAAUGCUUGUGUUACACGGGGCCAGCUUGUAAAACGGGGUGAUGGGACCACUGGCUCUGCAGAAUGAGGAGUAGUGGUGUCAGGGGAGCGUGAGCCUUGGAGUCAUGCAGACAUGUGGCCGUGAAUACAUUUGGAUAUCUAGCAGCAGAAUCUAAAGUUUCAACCUGGAAGUUACUGAGUUACCUUGAAUUGGGAAAAAUAAGAGCUUUCUGCCAUCAGUGGAAUUAGAGGUCAAAAUUGAGGUCACCUGGAAACUGAGUUUAUUCAUACAAGGGAAAGUUAGAUUUCUGCACAUAUGAGUUGUUACUAUGAAAUAUAAACACACACAUAUCAUUUGGAAAUAAGAAUUCCCAAGAUGCUUUGUUCUUAAACGUCUGGUCAGAGUCUCUUAAGGUAAAUAAGUCCCUCCUGUUUUGUAAUACUUUAGGAUUAUUGUUUCACCAUGCAGUUGUUUUGAUUUUUAUUGUUUCAGUUAUACGCAUUUCCAAGGUUAGAGAUUAAUGUAACAAAGUACAUAGUCCAGUGUAAUGAGGAGCAGAAUCAAAUUCUUCUCCCAUGAUAUCAGCCAAAGAUCCAAGAGUUCGCAACCCCAAAUCUGAACACGCUGGCUCGGCUAUCAAAGUAACAGCCAUGUACACAGUCUAGUACCAUUCAACAGAAUGAAGAUUUGUUCACUCAAAUGGAUUUAUUUUACUAAAAUCUUUUUUUUGUUGUUGCCAGCACAAGGUGAAAUGGAACGUUGGAAAUAAGCCUGAAAAGCUGGUCAGCAUAAGUAGCCGAACCAGAUAAUUAGCACAAAGCCACACUCAGCACCAUAUUCUUAGAACCUGUAGAGUACAAAUUAUCUGCAGCUGUGAAUAACUUCUAAUAGUUAAGCAUUGGGUAAACAUUUUGCUUUUGACCCGAACUGUAUAGCUUGGCUCUCUCCACAAGCAUUAUGGCCAACUUUCCAUUUUGUUUUGUACUUUCUGGACUUGGGCAAAAUCUGGACUGCUAAGAAACUGGAUAAUUUUGUUCUUAAUUUUGUAAAAUAAAGCUGAACUAUUUAACAAGUCAUUUAUUAUUCAUUGAGAUAUACUGUCUCUUGAUAAAUGAUUGAAAUAAUC